This is a long non-coding RNA of Gallus gallus (chicken), 1704 nucleotides long. RefSeq lists it as uncharacterized. NCBI's taxonomy places the organism in Eukaryota, Metazoa, Chordata, Aves, Galliformes, Phasianidae. The record is from RefSeq and is a predicted model, not a curated record. The transcript has 3 exons.
UAGAGAAUGUUUGAGUGAGACAACCAUCACCCUUCCACUUCACUUGAGAGCCCAGGAUGGGCAAUAUUUGAGCAGGCACGUUCUAAGGAUAGAGGGACUCCACUGUAUGCACCAGCUGUACAAACUUUUCAGUCUCUUUGUUUUGUAGUUACUGGAUCCAGCAUCUCUGCAACCUACUGGGCUUAAUGCUGUACUAUCCUCCGGCCGUAGCAGAUGAAGUUGCCUCAGGCAGAGCAAAGUUCUACUAUAUCUCAUAAAAAUAUGAUUUUCCCAGCUACAGGCCCCUCAGCAACAUGAUGCUUCUCACUGUUUGUUUGUUAAACCUUUAUUAAAUUUCCCAGCAAAAUAUACAACUGCAUGUGACAAAAGUACUUGUUCAUCUAGUAAAUAUGUUUUGGAAUUUAAUGUUAUUGUGUAUUAAGUUCUAAAUUCACUGAAGGAAUAAAAUACAUACACAUUUUUAAAGUAACAUAGAAAACAAGUUUUUUUUCAAUUCAGGACUUAAAGAUAGCACAGACCUUAAGUAAUGGUAUCACACUGUCAACAGAUGGACAUGGAGAAAGCUCUGUUGAAAGUUCUGUGUUAAUUUAUGAAUGUUAUCCACCUUCCCAAAUACAUAGCUAUGGAAAUGACCUCAAAACCAGCCCUCUCUAAUAUUGGGCAGACUUUUUCAUGCCUUGGUAAAUAUAAUCUAAAAAGGGCUCUCAUGAAAACUGAAUCCCAUUCUACUCCUCGUGGCAGAGGUUGAACAUGUGUAUAGCUUAGCAUCCAAAUCAUUCAAGCCUUUUGUAUUGGCAGUGUAUUAGAGGAUGAGAAUCAGAAUAAUUUGCUUGUGUUUGCAUCUGGUCAUCUGAAAUUCAAUAGUAGAGACUCUGAUGUAUGACAUUAUGAGUUUCCAGGUGUUUCUGCUUGGAGCCCUUGCUAUGUCAAGUACCGUGUUUCUGAUCAAUGCAACAUUUGCUGUGUUUCACACCAAACCUAAUGUGCUCAGUGACGUGCUCCUGUACAGAUAUACCAGAAACUAGCUGCCUCUAGCCUGGCAGCGGUUAACAAAUCUGCUCCAUAACAGACUUACUGAAAAAGUACCAUCUGCUUCCUGAUAGAGGGAUUUCUGGUUUUGUUUUUGUUUUUGUUUUUCCUGUUGACUUAAGAAGACAUGAAACAAUAUGAGCAGUUGGAUACCCAAGGUGACAAGGUAAUGGAAUUUUCCAAGUCUUAAAUAAAGGAAGAUAACUUAUGUAAGUCCUUGGCAUUUACAAUGUAUGGCAGAACAUUUUCCUUCCAUUCUUGCAACUAUUUGCAACACCAAAAAACUAAAAAUAAUUUUUUUCUAAAUUCAAGGUUGUCCUCCUACCAAAAAAUAUAUAUGUUUUUAAUGCUAUUUCUUUGAUUUUAAUGAUUAAUCCAGUGUCCGCAGAUGAUGCACUUGUUGAUAAAUUACUUGCAAUUUACUGCAGACCCUCCCUUUCUUUGCAUCUCUCCUGUGCUCUACAGUCUGUGGUGGGGACAGUAAAUCAGUACCAUGAAUAUUAUAUUGUGUGCAUCUGGAACAACACCAAAGAAACAUAAAACACACAAAAAUAGUUUCUAAAGAGAGGAAAUAGCUUUUCAAAUUUAAAUGCAUGAUGUCUGCAAACUUCACUCAACAAGCUCCACACUGUUGGGAAGACAGGCCAGAGGGCCUGAUGAUACUCUUUCAACUCU